Molecule: ribosomal RNA, 497 nt
Filed under: uncultured bacterium
Lineage: Bacteria
Description: partial 16S ribosomal RNA
Rfam family: Bacterial small subunit ribosomal RNA
Source: RNAcentral
GAUGAACGCUGGCGGCGUGCCUAAUACAUGCAAGUCGAGCGAACAGACGAGGAGCUUGCUCCUCUGACGUUAGCGGCGGACGGGUGAGUAACACGUGGAUAACCUACCUAUAAGGCUGGGAUAACUUCGGGAAACCGGAGCUAAUACCGGAUAAUAUAUUGAACCGCAUGGUUCAAUAGUGAAAGACGGUUUUGCUGUCCCUUAUAGAUGGAUCCGCGCCGCAUUAGCUAGUUGGUAAGGUAACGGCUUACCAAGGCAACGAUGCGUAGCCGACCUGAGAGGGUGAUCGGCCACACUGGAACUGAGACACGGUCCAGACUCCUACGGGAGGCAGCAGUAGGGAAUCUUCCGCAAUGGGCGAAAGCCUGACGGAGCAACGCCGCGUGAGUGAUGAAGGUCUUCGGAUCGUAAAACUCUGUUAUUAGGGAAGAACAAAUGUGUAAGUAACUAUGCACGUCUUGACGGUACCUAAUUAGAAAGCCACGGCUAACUACGUG